AUCGCCCUCCCUCUUUCAGGUGUCCGGGUUAGAUCAUUUAACCUGGCUUAAACAGGAAGUCGGUGCCGCGCUUUAUUUCAAAGCUGCCAAGCCGACGCUGCCCCCGCAACGGUAGAUAAGUAAAAGAUCUGCGUGAACGCCACUGUGCAUCCAGCAUGGGAAGGCCGCAUUUCAGGCCUAAAGCCACUUAUAAGCCCGGAGACUGGCCGGAAAGAUCAUCCAAGA
Molecule: non-coding RNA, 225 nt
Filed under: Methylomonas lenta
Lineage: Bacteria; Pseudomonadati; Pseudomonadota; Gammaproteobacteria; Methylococcales; Methylococcaceae
Source: RNAcentral